AGAGUUUGAUCCUGGCUCAGAGCGAACGCUGGCGGCAGGCUUAACACAUGCAAGUCGAACGGGCACCUUCGGGUGUCAGUGGCAGACGGGUGAGUAACACGUGGGAACGUGCCCUUCGGUUCGGAACAACUCAGGGAAACUUGAGCUAAUACCGGAUACGCCCUUCGGGGGAAAGAUUUAUCGCUGAAGGAUCGGCCCGCGUCUGAUUAGCUAGUUGGUGAGGUAAUGGCUCACCAAGGCGACGAUCAGUAGCUGGUCUGAGAGGAUGAUCAGCCACACUGGGACUGAGACACGGCCCAGACUCCUACGGGAGGCAGCAGUGGGGAAUAUUGGACAAUGGGUGCAAGCCUGAUCCAGCCAUGCCGCGUGAGUGAUGAAGGCCUUAGGGUUGUAAAGCUCUUUCGUCCGGGACGAUAAUGACGGUACCGGAAGAAGAAGCCCCGGCUAACUUCGUG
RNAcentral lists this ribosomal RNA (455 nucleotides) under uncultured Hyphomicrobiales bacterium. Its description in RNAcentral is "bacterial SSU rRNA". It matches the Rfam family "Bacterial small subunit ribosomal RNA", at positions 8 to 507 of the family's 1533-position model. Lineage: Bacteria; Pseudomonadati; Pseudomonadota; Alphaproteobacteria; Hyphomicrobiales. The record is from RNAcentral.